GCUAGCUUUGGCAGCGCAUAUACUAAAAUUGCAAUGAUGCAGAGAAGGUUAGCAUGGACCCUGUGAGAGGGUGACAUGCGCAAAUUCAUGAAGCCUUCCAUCCAAAA
This 107-nucleotide small nuclear RNA is filed under the name Amazona collaria (yellow-billed parrot). Lineage: Eukaryota; Metazoa; Chordata; Aves; Psittaciformes; Psittacidae. The record is from RNAcentral.